ACCCGCUGAACUUAAGCAUAUCAAUAAGCGGAGGAAAAGAAACUAACAAGGAUUCCCCUAGUAACGGCGAGUGAAGCGGGAAGAGCUCAAAUUUAAAAUCUGGCGGUCUCAGACUGUCCGAGUUGUAAUCUAGAGAGGUGUUUUCCGUGCCGGACCAUGUAAAAGUCCCUUGGAACAGGGCGUCAUAGAGGGUGAGAAUCCCGUUCAUGACAUGGACUCCCGGUGCUCUGUGAUACAUCUUCAAAGAGUCGAGUUGUUUGGGAAUGCAGCUCAAAAUGGGUGGUAAAUUCCAUCUAAAGCUAAAUAUUGGCGAGAGACCGAUAGCGAACAAGUACCGUGAGGGAAAGAUGAAAAGAACUUUGGAAAGAGAGUUAAACAGUACGUGAAAUUGUUAAAAGGGAAACGCUUGAAGUCAGUCGCGUCUUCUGGGACUCAGCCUUGCUUCUGCUUGGUGCAAUUCUCAGUUGAUGGGCCAGCAUCAAUUUUGGGCGCCGGAUAAAGGUGGGAGGAAUGUGGCAACUUCGGUUGUGUUAUAGCCUCCUGUCACACACGGUGCCUGGGAUUGAGGAAUGCAGCAUGCCUUAUGGUUGGGGUUCGCCCACAUUCAUGCUUAGGAUGCUGGCGUAAUGGCUUUAAACGACCCGUCUUGAAACACGG
Molecule: ribosomal RNA, 657 nt
Filed under: uncultured fungus
Lineage: Eukaryota; Fungi
Description: eukaryotic LSU rRNA
Rfam family: Eukaryotic large subunit ribosomal RNA
Source: RNAcentral